RNAcentral lists this ribosomal RNA (643 nucleotides) under uncultured bacterium. Its description in RNAcentral is "bacterial SSU rRNA". It matches the Rfam family "Bacterial small subunit ribosomal RNA", at positions 232 to 885 of the family's 1533-position model. The record is from RNAcentral.
CGCGGCCUAUCAGCUUGUUGGUGGGGUGAUGGCCUACCAAGGCGACGACGGGUAGCCGGCCUGAGAGGGUGUCCGGCCACACUGGGACUGAGAUACGGCCCAGACUCCUACGGGAGGCAGCAGUGGGGAAUAUUGCACAAUGGGCGCAAGCCUGAUGCAGCGACGCCGCGUGAGGGAUGACGGCCUUCGGGUUGUAAACCUCUUUCAGCACAGACGAAGCGCGAGUGACGGUAUGUGCAGAAGAAGCACCGGCCAACUACGUGCCAGCAGCCGCGGUAAUACGUAGGGUGCGAGCGUUGUCCGGAAUUACUGGGCGUAAAGAGCUCGUAGGUGGUUUGUCGCGUUGUUCGUGAAAACUCACAGCUUAACUGUGGGCGUGCGGGCGAUACGGGCAGACUGGAGUACUGCAGGGGAGACUGGAAUUCCUGGUGUAGCGGUGGAAUGCGCAGAUAUCAGGAGGAACACCGGUGGCGAAGGCGGGUCUCUGGGCAGUAACUGACGCUGAGGAGCGAAAGCGUGGGGAGCGAACAGGAUUAGAUACCCUGGUAGUCCACGCCGUAAACGGUGGGUACUAGGUGUGGGUUUCCUUCCUUGGGAUCCGUGCCGUAGCUAACGCAUUAAGUACCCCGCCUGGGGAGUACGG